UUUUUGUUUUUUCCGUGUUCAACGUUUGACCAUUCAUCUUAUUUGAAAAAUUUGUACAAAAACAUAAAAAAAUUAGUCACGUAUAAAGUACUAUUCAUAUUUUAAUUUUAUCAUUUAGUAACAAUAAAAAUAUUAAUCGCAAAAAAAAAUCAAAUAAGACGAAUGAUCAAACGUUGGACAAGGAAAAAUGAUGUUAUUAUG
This 201-nucleotide microRNA precursor is filed under the name Oryza brachyantha (malo sina). RNAcentral describes it as "MIR812 microRNA precursor family". It matches the Rfam family "MIR812 microRNA precursor family". Lineage: Eukaryota; Viridiplantae; Streptophyta; Magnoliopsida; Poales; Poaceae. The record is from Rfam by way of RNAcentral.